UACAGAGGUCUCAAGCGUUGUUCGGAUUCAUUGGGCGUAAAGGGUGCGUAGGCGGCGCGGUAAGUCGGGUGUGAAAUCUCGGAGCUUAACUCCGAAACUGCAUUCGAUACUGCCGUGCUUGAGGACUGGAGAGGAGACUGGAAUUUACGGUGUAGCAGUGAAAUGCGUAGAUAUCGAGAGGAACACCAGUGGCGAAGGCGAGUCCCUGGACAACACCUGACACUGAGGCACGAAAGCUAGGGGAGCAAACAGG
This 253-nucleotide ribosomal RNA is filed under the name uncultured bacterium. RNAcentral's name for it is "partial 16S ribosomal RNA". It matches the Rfam family "Bacterial small subunit ribosomal RNA", at positions 524 to 776 of the family's 1533-position model. The record is from RNAcentral.